This 200-nucleotide unclassified non-coding RNA is filed under the name Pleosporales sp. RNAcentral's name for it is "partial internal transcribed spacer 2". The record is from RNAcentral. Lineage: Eukaryota; Fungi; Ascomycota; Dothideomycetes; Pleosporales.
UUAAGUUCAGCGGGUAUCCCUACCUGAUCCGAGGUCAAAAGUGGAGAGGCUUGAUGGACGCUAACAUUCUAGGCUAGAAUUGCAAAAUGUGCUGCGCUUCUAUACCAAAACACUGGCUGCCAAUUGCUUUUAGGUGAGUCUAAUGGCAAGCCUAGACAAACACCCAACACCAAGCAGAGCUUGAGGAUACAAAUGACGCU